CAGACAUGGUCACUGAAGCAGGGGUUGUAGAGGCCAAAAUCCAAGGGAAAUAGAGCCCAGUGAGGAAGAGAAGGUGAUAAAGGACUUGAGUGCAAUAGGAAACCCGUCAAAAUAACAGGACUAUGAAGAUGGCAGGCUGUAAAUACCUUCACCUUCACCAAGAAUGUACUCUGGAGCAUUGAUGAACACAGGAACGUAGAUGACUGAAAGAUUAUCACAGAUGGAACAUGUUGGACGUCACCUUAAGCAAGCCUGAAGCAUUUCCUUUACCAUAGCACUGUUUCGCUGAAUAAUUCAUCACAGACAGGUGAGACUUGCCCUUCUCUUCAUCUCUUCAGCCCUUCUUCUGUUUUGAGACAAGAAGAUCUCAUUGGGGUUUCUUGUAUUCAGGGAAACCUCAGGUACUUAUAUUUAGUGAUGAUAAUCUGUAUUAGGCACUCUAUAUGAACAGAUGAUUGAUGGUAUAUUUACAAUGUAACGUGAAAGGUACUUCGCCAGCAAGACAGACAAAAAAUCAUGCCCACAUUUAAACAUUUAGCUAUGAAUAAAAUAAUGUCCUUAAUGUUCACCGGCCGCAUCAGUGGGUAGUAAGCACAUUAAAGCCAUAAAAGCACUUAGUAAUGGGAGUAAUUGAAAGUCUGCAAGCUGUGCUAAGCAAUAACAGCUUUUGUAUGUGUGUGAGUCUGUGUGUGUGUGUGUGUGUGUGUGUGUGUGUGGUCUGCAGUGUUUGGCAAAGCUCAUUUUGUUCAGCGUGACCAGUCUAACAGGCAUGGCAGACCUGAUGGGCACUACGAUCUCAUAAAUGUGGUCCAGCAGAGGUCAAAGCUCAAAGGAAUUCACAUAUUUAAAAGGAUGAGGAACGUCUGUUAAAAACAAACAAACAAAAAU
This is a long non-coding RNA of Onychostoma macrolepis, 888 nucleotides long. RefSeq lists it as uncharacterized. The transcript has 3 exons. NCBI's taxonomy places the organism in Eukaryota, Metazoa, Chordata, Actinopteri, Cypriniformes, Cyprinidae. The record is from RefSeq and is a predicted model, not a curated record.